RNAcentral lists this ribosomal RNA (253 nucleotides) under uncultured bacterium. RNAcentral describes it as "partial 16S ribosomal RNA". It matches the Rfam family "Bacterial small subunit ribosomal RNA", at positions 524 to 776 of the family's 1533-position model. The record is from RNAcentral.
UACGUAGGGAGCAAGCGUUGUCCGGAAUUACUGGGCGUAAAGCGCACGUAGGCGGCUUUGCAAGUCAGAUGUGAAAUCCCCGGGCUUAACCUGGGAACUGCAUUUGAGACUGCAUUGCUAGAGUAUGGGAGAGGGAAGUGGAAUUUCAGGUGUAGCGGUGAAAUGCGUAGAUAUCUGAAGGAACAUCAGUGGCGAAAGCGACUUCCUGGACCAAUACUGACGCUCAUGUGCGAAAGCGUGGGGAGCAAACAGG